This is an RNA transcript of Centruroides sculpturatus (bark scorpion), 5026 nucleotides long. It is a transcript of the gene named serine palmitoyltransferase 2-like, with no coding region annotated. The transcript has 5 exons. NCBI's taxonomy places the organism in Eukaryota, Metazoa, Arthropoda, Arachnida, Scorpiones, Buthidae. The record is from RefSeq and is a predicted model, not a curated record.
CGUUUUAACUUAAAUAUUCCACAGAUCGCCAAUAAAAUGUGUUGUUGUUAGAACCGUAUAUUUUUAAUAUUAAAACUUUUUUACUGUUGUUGAUUCUACAAAAUUGUCGAAAAAAUACUUUUUAAAUUCGAUCCACGUCUAUUUAAUGUAGUAAAUUGCGCUAUUUUUAUCCUGGAAAUUAUUUUAGCGUGUUUACUUUUCCACAAUUUUCCCUUUCGGAAUCUCUAAACGGGGAGGAAAUAUACAAAUUAACUAUUUUUAAGCGCGUUGUCUAAAAAUAUGGAAUAUUUUCAGUCCAGAAGCCCCUUUUAAAUUAAUUAUACGGUUAUUUAAUGCGCAAGUUUCGAUAUAAUGGUGCAGGAACAUUGGUUAGACAGUUAACUUCCGUUUAAAUUUUCUAGGAAUUAGAAACAACCGGUUUGGUGAUACUCCCGUCACGUGUUAACUCGUAUCUCCUCUCUUUCCUCUGAAUUAAUUUGAAAACAAUAUUAACUGGAUUUCUUUGAAGGAUUAUCUGUAAGCCCAGUCCUUUCGCGAAGGUAUACUUUAAAAAAGAAACCCAUCUGUAUAGAGAUAAUUGCUAUACCCAUCGUCAAGCUAAGGCCCCUGAUACUUUCUAAACAUGGUUAUCUUGAAUCGCUCAGGCAAGCGGGAUUUAUGGGGCCCUUUUCUACGAGUUUAUAAAGGCCUGAGGCCUGUGCCAGGAUCGUAAUAACUCAUGCUGGGCUUUGUAUAUUGCAGCGGGAUCGAAUAUCUGAACGUGCUUAUCUUUGGUUCCUGAAAGCUCGAGGAUUUAGGCGCGAGCCUAAGCUGUCCGUACCUUAAAAUAUAGAGUGAAAUUCGGGGCAUUUUACUGUGUUCCCUCGCUUUGUUUUCCCGUUUUACUCCUUUGUUUGAACUCUUGACACGGUUCGUUCCUCUGUUCUGGGCGAUAUCGCUUUACUUCUGGAACUCGUUUGCCUUACUUCACCCCUCCUCCGUCUAAUCUAAACCGGUGCGGUCGAUACUUUGUAUAAACUUCUUGCCGUAGUGUGACGUUCUAAUAUAGCACGCGCUAUCGAACCGCGCCACGCGUGACGUUCUAGAGCCAAAAUACGAUGACAUAAUUAGCGCGUUGACGGGUUCUUCGAUAUUUUCCCGAUGAUUAAGCAAUCGGAACGUAACACGCUCCCAAAAAUAAAAUAUGGAAGGCCGAGCGUGACGUCGGCCGGUGACGUUAUCGAAGACACUCCAUCAUAAACGCGUGUCGCACGUUAGGAAUGCGUCGCUUUCGCGCAUUUCUGUCGCUCGAAGAUGGCUCGGCCUUGACCUUAUUCUUUCGUUCCUCCUGCCGUUUCUUUUUCUCUCGAGAAGUAUGUUCAAAGAGACGAAAUCGCGUCGCUAAACAGGAGUGUGGCGCGUUUCUUGUUUGUUACGCUUUAACAGUGGAGGAAGGGUGUUACUAGGACGGACGAUUGUGACUGUAUGAACUGUAAUUCCCCGCCUGCAGACUGUAAUCGGAUUCUUUGAGCUUUUUUUGGUACAUUUGGCGCGGAAAAAAAACCCCCUUCUCCUCUCGCUCCAGUUGCGACCUUUCUGAAGUGUUUCUCUUUUUGUAAGCGCGUAAUUUAGAACGUGGUGACGAAAAUGUAGCGUAUAGCGUGGUAUUUGGAACCGUUUUAUCCACGUUUGUGUACUGAGAGACCUUGUUCUAUGACGUUUUAAGGGGGUAGUGCUCCCACCGGCGUGGUUUUUGGUUUCGUUUCCCCGUUCCCAAUCUUGCAAGUUUAAGGUUUCUUUUAGAAAUUCGGCGUGUAAUUUUGGAAUUCCGCUUCUAAAUUGAAGGUUCUUUCCUGCAUUGGGGGGUUGAUUUACUGAAAAUGAACUACCAUUGGCCGGCGUUAAACUUUCGAUUCUAUUAACGCAACCUAGUACAUAAAUUUCGGAUUACUUUAGUACUUUUUCCCGCUGGAACCAGGCUAAAUAAAUGUCGUUCGGUUCCUUAUUCUGUUACACAUUUACUAAAUCCAUUACGAGAUGAAGAAGCAGAGGAAUUGGAUGGGAGGAGUGAAGCUAUGGAGGAUAAAGUCUCCGAAAGAGAACAUGGAAGUCGAAGAUGAGUACGAAGAGACUCCACUCGGCGUCGCCAUCCUCACCUACUUCAGUUACAUGAUCCUCAUCAUCUUCGGUUAUCUGCGGGAGUUUCUCAGGAGAGUCGGACUGGAGGACCAGCGGUGUGCCGUGGAAAGGAACAGAGAGGGUUACGUUCCUCUCUAUCAGAAAUUCGAAAGCUUUUAUAAUCACAAUGUCUACAGAAGAAUCAGGGACUGUUGGAGUAAGCCCAUCUGCAGUGCUCCCGGCGUCAUGGUCGACAUCAAAGAUAGGGUCUCCACCGACUACAAUUGGCAUUUUACCAUAUUUCUUCUCCAAAAAGCUACUUAACUAAUCGGCCAGAGUUUUUCUUUAACGUCUCUCGUAAGCUGGUUGGUGGAUUUGAAUUUAUUGCAUGCCGUUCUGUUUUUUACUUUCUUGCCGUUAAACAUUUCUCGGCCGAAUUAAGUUUUUUCUUUUUUUAUGGUUGCAGCUACUUUGCCUUUACAAAAAAGACUGGCUUCGAGCUGUAGGCAUUCUCAAGCACAAGUAACGCAGGAUGCCAGGUACAUCCAUCAAAGCAGUCAAUUUAGGUUCCUAUAAUUAUUUAGGAUUUGCUAUAAACGAAGGAAGGUGUAUCGACAAAGUCGAGUCGUCCAUCUCUGCGUAUGGAGUGGGCGUGUGUACCACACGCCACGAAUUAGGUAAAAAAACCAAUGAUUUGUCGAUUUUCAUCCUCGUGAAUAUCGAAACGACACAUCGUAUUUUUAAGGUUACAAAAUAGGACUUUAUUGGAUUUAAUUAAUGUAUUUGCCAGCAUAUAAGAGGCACCCCAUUUUCAGAUGGUAUAUUUUUGAGAAAAAGUGUCUCUUAUAUGUGGUACAUUAAAUUCAAUAGAAAUUUAUACACUAGCAUAAUGACAUUUUAAAACUUUCAUAUCAAUUACCUUACCAAAACUUCCAUAAAUUAAUUAUUUAGAGAGAGAGCAAUGUUUAGUGUUUUUAUUAAAAUUUGUUUCACGUAGAUGAUGAUGAAAACUAUGCAAAGUUUGCUCUAGAAAUAAACUGUCCCACUAAAUACAUUUUUUUAGUUAUAAAAAUUUACCAAUAUUAUUAAUUUAAUUAAAAAUAAUGUAACCCACUUCUAAUCCGGUUUCAUAAAGGGAUGUUUUGUUAUUUUAAGGAUAUAAAUAAAUCUUUUGUUUGACUUGAGAACUUUGAACUGAAUUUGUUUGUAUAUUUAACAUUUUCGUAUUAGUUUUAUUAAUUAUAUUACUUUUUGUUUGUCAGAACUUGAAAAACACAUGAAAAGUUAACUUUAAAAAAAAAAAAGGUUGUUUUUUUAUGCUGAGUUAAUAAUAAUAGUAAUAAUAAUGGCUUGGUUAGUAAAAAACUUUCCAUAUUUACAACUGAACAACAACAAAAUACUUUAUUUGCUGCUUUCAGUUUUCACUAAGUAUACAACAACUUCGUCACAGCACUUCACAGCCUUCUCUAAACUCCAAAAACUUAACGUCACCUCUUCUAAAGUGUUGCCAGCCAGCCAUUUGGGCUAUCUUCCCACAUCUGUAAGCCCAAUUAGUUAUAUUAAAGCCAAAUGAUUGCUGUAUUAAAUCGGGCUAAAUUACUGUUGCUACUAAUAAUUAAGUGCUAAGUAAUUUGGUAUAGAUGUAGGUAAAUAUUAGCUGCCUUCUGUUAUUAAGUUUAAUAGUGCAAUCAUUUGCUACUGUUUUAAUUAUUGUAAUAAUUUAUAAAUAAUACAUUCCUUUUGAACUUAAAAAAUAAUACCACAAGAACGAAAUUAAGAUACGUGAAAGAUUAAGUACAAAAAAAAAUGACAAAAGUAACAUUAUUAUUGUAUAGAUGUUUUUAUAGAGAAAUUUGUUUUGAAAUUUACUAAUGCACGCACUGCCGCUUUCGAAAUGUAUUAAAAAUAUAUUAAUAUAUGUAUAUGAUGGACUAAAAAUAUUUAAUCUGUGCAAGGCAUAACCUGACAAGACAAACUCUGCAUAAUUGCUCUCAGAAAUCUAAGAAAAGUAUAAUGCAGUUGUAAAAAGCCAUAAAAGUACUCGAAAGUUUCAAUUCAUUUAAUAGAAGUCUGGUAAUACAAGUCAAGUUUGAGCUACAGUGGAGGAUACAGUUGUAGGCAGAUUCAGACAAUCCACUCAAUAAAAUGUAAAUCUUCUCUUGGUUUACAAGAUGUGUUCGGAAUGAGGUAUGCACUCGGUAUUGCAUAACAGAAGUGUAAAGUGGUUAUUGAUUUUUAUUUUCAAAUUACUUAAACUAGUAGCUUAACAUGUUUUAGUUCCUUUAUGUGACCUAACAAGUCGGAAAAUUGGAUUUGUAGGUGGUCGAUCUGCAAUGUCCGCUGCUGCUGCUGCUACAGAGUUCCUUAAAAAUACUUUGUUUUUAAAAUUAGUGUUCUUUGUUGGGUUUCUGCUAUUACUUAAAGGUUCCAAAACUUUUUGAAGCUGCAUCCCCUACUGUUUUGUAUCUCUUUCCCGUAUAUCUCCCUCUUUCUUCAAUCUUGUAUCUUUGCAAAAAGAAGUUUUCCGUCAAUGACUGCCAUCAAAAGCGAAAGCAAGAAAUUGCCUUGAAUUCAAAUGAUUUGAUUGUAUGCAUUUCAAAUACAGAGCCAAGAUUUGCAAAGAUAGUUUCUGAAAAACAAGCACACAUUUCACAUCAGUUUUCUGUUGUAAAUGCAAAAUAAAUGUGUUAAUUUGACUUUUUCAUUUUGUGUAAAACCUCUCAUGACUCCCAAGAGUGUUGCAACCAAUGUUCUAGAAACUGUGGACUUUUGAGGAUCUUGAAAUUAUUUUAAUACUUUGUGAGAAGCACUUGAUUAAAAAAAAACCAUAAUUUGAUUUUGGUGAUAUGUUAGCUUCCAAUUUUAUAAUCCUUACUUUUUGGAAAAAUUAGGACUUGAAUAUAAGUUGACCUCUUAUUGUUGAUUUUAU